Tympanuchus pallidicinctus (lesser prairie-chicken) is the source of this 264-nucleotide long non-coding RNA. RefSeq lists it as uncharacterized. NCBI's taxonomy places the organism in Eukaryota, Metazoa, Chordata, Aves, Galliformes, Phasianidae. The transcript is spliced from 3 exons. The record is from RefSeq and is a predicted model, not a curated record.
AAAAGAGGACCAGGUGGGACUACGCUUCGGAGUGUGUGUUUACCAACAGCUUGCUGAAGCCUCAUCCUUGCUGGUUGCUAUUUGGGGUUUUCCAUCCGAAAAGUGACCAUACUUUAUCUGCAUCUGUUCUGCUGGCCUACUCAGGUUAUUUUUCAGGUGUCUUCAGCUGUGGACUGGUUUGAAUCACGACAAAGUGAAGAGUGCAACAGGUUUCAGGAUGCAAGAGCUGGACAAACACCUCCAAAGCAAACACUUCUAGCCUGG